Molecule: ribosomal RNA, 253 nt
Filed under: uncultured bacterium
Lineage: Bacteria
Description: partial 16S ribosomal RNA
Rfam family: Bacterial small subunit ribosomal RNA
Source: RNAcentral
UACGUAGGGUGCAAGCGUUAAUCGGAAUUACUGGGCGUAAAGCGUGCGCAGGCGGUGAUGUAAGACAGAUGUGAAAUCCCCGGGCUCAACCCGGGAACUGCGUCCGAUACUGAAAGGCUUGAAUCCGGGAGAGGGAUGCGGAAUUCCAGGUGUAGCGGUGAAAUGCGUAGAUAUCUGGAGGAACACCGGUGGCGAAGGCGGCAUCCUGGACCGGCAUUGACGCUGAGGCGCGAAAGCCAGGGGAGCAAACGGG